CCUACGGGAGGCUGCAGUGGGGAAUAUUGGACAAUGGGCGAAAGCCUGAUCCAGCCAUGCCGCGUGUGUGAAGAAGGCCUUCGGGUUGUAAAGCACUUUCAGUGGGGAAGAAAGCCUUGGGGCUAAUACCCUCGAGGAAGGACAUCACCCACAGAAGAAGCACCGGCUAACUCCGUGCCAGCAGCCGCGGUAAUACGGAGGGUGCGAGCGUUAAUCGGAAUUACUGGGCGUAAAGCGCGCGUAGGCGGUCUGAUAAGCCGGUUGUGAAAGCCCCGGGCUCAACCUGGGAACGGCAUCCGGAACUGUCAGGCUAGAGUGCAGGAGAGCAAGGUAGAAUUCCCGGUGUAGCGGUGAAAUGCGUAGAGAUCGGGAGGAAUACCAGUGGCGAAGGCGGCCUUCUGGACUGACACUGACGCUGAGGUGCGAAAGCGUGGGUAGCAAACAGGAUUAGAUACCCGUGUAGUC
RNAcentral lists this ribosomal RNA (465 nucleotides) under Vreelandella stevensii. RNAcentral describes it as "partial 16S ribosomal RNA". It matches the Rfam family "Bacterial small subunit ribosomal RNA", at positions 338 to 795 of the family's 1533-position model. Lineage: Bacteria; Pseudomonadati; Pseudomonadota; Gammaproteobacteria; Oceanospirillales; Halomonadaceae. The record is from RNAcentral.